This is a long non-coding RNA of Mesocricetus auratus (golden hamster), 477 nucleotides long. RefSeq lists it as uncharacterized. NCBI's taxonomy places the organism in Eukaryota, Metazoa, Chordata, Mammalia, Rodentia, Cricetidae. The record is from RefSeq and is a predicted model, not a curated record. The transcript has 3 exons.
UCAUACCACACAGCUGCCAUCAGACCAAGCCUUGGAAGAAGAAGUCACCUCUCUCAAAGUAGUGGCAGCCAUCUUGUCUCCAGGGAUUUUGCAGGCCAAAAUGAGUUCACUCCAGCUGGGAGUGCAGAAAACAAGUUUUAACCAUCAACAAGUCACCACUGUGUCUGUAGCCUCUGGAGAUAGCCUGUCUAUUUGGCCAUUUCACUGGAGCAGACUCUGGAGCAAGGUGCAGGAGGCUGGCCUAACCCAGGGAUGCUUGGCAUCUUGGUAGACCCAGCCAGUGUCCUCACAUAGAAACCUGCCAAGGCACUGAUUCCUUCAAGGUCACCAAAAGAUUUUGUUCCCUUCUUAAGACAAAUCACUUUAACAGCUACAGGAAGGGUUCCUGCCUCCAGGUCCCUGGCCUUCUUGCGUUCCUGUCCUGCCCUCCCUUCAUGGCAGACUGUCAUCAGGACACAUAAGCCAAAUAAACCUCUC